GAUGAAGAACGCAGCGAAAUGCGAUAAGUAGUGUGAAUUGCAGAAUUCAGUGAAUCAUCGAAUCUUUGAACGCACAUUGCGCCCCUUGGUAUCCCGAGGGGCAUGCCUGUUCGAGCGUCAUUUCACCACUCAAGCCUGGCUUGGUGUUGGGCGACGUCCUCUUUGGGGACGCGCCUCGAAACGCUCGGCGGCGUGACACCGGCUUUAAGCGUAGCAGAAUCUUUCGCUUUGGAAGUCGGGGCCCCGUCUGCCGGAAGACCUGCUCGCAAGGUUGACCUCGGAUCAGGCAGGGAUACCCGCUGAACUUAAGCAUAUCAAUAAGCGGAGGA
Molecule: unclassified non-coding RNA, 329 nt
Filed under: soil metagenome
Description: partial contains 5.8S ribosomal RNA, internal transcribed spacer 2, and large subunit ribosomal RNA
Rfam family: 5.8S ribosomal RNA (bases 1-120)
Source: RNAcentral